This 253-nucleotide ribosomal RNA is filed under the name uncultured bacterium. Its description in RNAcentral is "partial 16S ribosomal RNA". It matches the Rfam family "Bacterial small subunit ribosomal RNA", at positions 524 to 776 of the family's 1533-position model. The record is from RNAcentral.
UACGAAGGGUGCAAGCGUUACUCGGAAUUACUGGGCGUAAAGCGUGCGUAGUCGGUUAUUUAAGUCGGGCGUGAAAGCCCCGGGCUCAACCUGGGAAUUGCGUUCGAUACUGGAUAGCUAGAGUUCGGCAGAGGGAAGCGGAAUUUCGGGUGUAGCGGUGAAAUGCGUAGAUAUCCGAAGGAACAUCAGUGGCGAAAGCGGCUUCCUGGACCAGAACUGACGAUCAGGCACGAAAGCGUGGUGAGCAAACAGG